CCAGCCCAGAGCCCCAGGAACCAGGCAAGCACUCUGUGACCUAAAUGAACUCUUUACUAUUUGCCAGCUGGGCAGGCAGUUCUGUGGUAACCAAGAAGUCCUUCCCAUGGCCUGAGGUCUUGCUGCUUACUAGAAAUCGGACUCCUCUUCUUCCCACAGGAGGCAUCAGCAGCCCUGAAUCUUAUGCAACCCCCCCAAGUCCUCCUCCUGCCACCAACUGUGAGGUAUGUGGCUGGGGCCUGCGGCUGCUGCACACACUGGUCUUCCGAGCUGUCACACUUGUGCUAGUGGCAGGGGAGGCAUUUCAGCUCAGCAUCCUUCAAAGUCAGAAGUCCCAGCAUCACCACAUCUCUUGAAGAGGUGCUUCCUUUGUGUCUGCUCAGCGUCCACCCAACCUCAGGGCAGUUUAUGCUGAUGAUGCAGCGCUCAGUUCUUAGCUUCUUGGCACUUUGUCUUGAAGUGCACGUGGCUGCCUCCACUUCUGCUCCACACGUGACUCCAGCUGAUCUCCUUUGCAUUUCACCAAGAGCACCAAGGCCCUCACCCAUGGAGCACGGUGACUGAGCAACAACGGUGACUGGGUACUUUGUGGCCAUGUGACCUUCACUGCGAUCUGACUCCCUGCUGGAUGAUCACCUCCACCAAGUGACAAGCUUCAUCGGGGACAUCCCUGCCAUAUGUGUGCAAACAGCCGUGCUGGACACAGGGCAGACACCCAGUAAGUGCUUGUUGAAGGAAUGAGUGAAAACUGAAAUUGGGGAUCAUCCUAAUGUGAGAUCAAAUAAAAGGACACAAGCACAGAGUGAGUACUUACUCCCUGAUCACCGGUCAUGGUAUUGCUAACCUUUCCCUGAAUUCCUGGGCCAUCUGUUGCUUUUAAAGUUUUAAAACAAGUCUUCCCAGAAAAGAAACAUGUUCUGUGUUCCACAGCAAGCUAGAAUUUCUGCGGUGAGGGUAUGGCCCCUGUGAAAGCUGAAACUACAAUUGCAUCUGCCUGGAGAACUUUGAGGAGGAGAAGGAGGUGUGACUGGUCUCCAGUAGUCCCCUGCAGGAAUCUGGGUGUGGGGCUGGGAGGCAGCCGUCCCUCCCGCACUUUCUGGAUCAUGCGAGCUGCAGGGUCCACAGUUCUUUCUGAAGAUCUCAUGGGAAAGGUAUUUCAAGCAUGUGCUGAAUACUUGCAAAUCCACAAAUUCUUUGGGAUCCCCUCAGUUCAUUUUUAGAACACUGUGAGCUUCCCUAUUUGGAAAGGACUUGGGAAAGGAGUCCCUGGAUGCCAGGAGUGGCUGUGUGUCAACGGGGAACUAUUUCUUUCUCUUGUAUCAGCUUAAUAAUAGACGUGCUGCAUAGUCAGAGUACAUCGCUAAAUUUAACCUGUGUGUCACAGCUCAGGCAUGGACGAUGAGGUCUCUUACCUGGGAAGGAGCUGGGGCACAAACCAAAGUGUCUCUGGAAUGUGAUGGAGGUGUCCUGGCCUCUCCCUGGCAAGAGACAAGCAUUUGUUUCCACUUGUCGUGGGAACAAAAUCUGGAUUGACUGAAACUGGCUGCUUGGUUCUCUUUGCUAAGGGGCAAAAUAUUUCUCAGUGUGUCUCAUGGAUGCAUGUGAUGAACAGAUCUGAGGAGCAGAGUGCCAGGGCUGAAUGUACCCCAGCAAGGGAAUCUGCAUUGGUAACUAUCGUAAUGCAUACUGGCCUAUGCAGAGCUACAGAUGUGCAUCUGUGCGCAUGUGCAAGGGUUAUAACCUUGCUCCUUUGGGGCCCUUCUUGCCUAGUGGGACAGAGGCCACGCAGGGCCCGGGGGACUCAUCCAAGCCAGGAUCGGCAGUCUGGUUCCAGAGGGUUGAAUGUCAGCACUGCCCAGAAAACAGUCUCUUGCCCCUCCAAUUUCUUUUUGCACUGGUUUGCAGAUAGUUGAUCUGGCCGAUGGUUUGGCCAAUGCCUUUCCCACUCUGAUCCAUACCCUAUUUCUUAGAGUCGACUACGGACAGUUAACACAAUCUUGUGACAGUGGGAGGGGUAUCCUUGGUGAUAGGUGAGGCAAAAGAAGGUCAGCCAAUAGAUCCUGUGUUCCGGAGUCCCCGGGGGCCGCGGUGGGCAGCUGAAGCAAGGAAGGAAAUGGCCAAGGCUCAUGCUUGCUGGAGACCCUUGCUGAAGACACAGCCCAGAUGCACGCUGGUGCUUCUGCCCGUGUGCAGGAUUUGUGCUGGACAAUUCACAGGACGUUUGGGGGUGAUCUCAGCACACUUUCUUAUCCAUGGCACAAAGCCACCUGCUUAUCCAAACAAGAUUGCUUGAGCCCUGAGAGGUGCUGGGCUGUUUUAGGUUCUGGGUACAACAAUAAAGAUCCCUGUGCCCAGGGAGCUGACCGUGCAUUGCAGGAAGGCUGUGCAUUUCCCACUCGUGUUUGAUGUUUCGCUGCGUCCAUUGCAGCCACUCAGCUUUACAAAGGAGCCAUGGAAAACAUGAGCCCAGAGGAGCGUGGCUGUGCUCCAGAAUGACUUCGUCUCUGUGGUGGGUUGCCGCCUGGUCCUCGGGAUCUGUUCUAGGCAGUAGCACACUGAGUCCGGUUCUAGGGCAAAAGAUGGCAGAGAGGCUUCAGGCUCAAGAUGUUCACACCUUGCUGAAGACCGUCAUCCCGAGACUCAUACCAGAACACCUUGUUCCAGCCCAGCUGCUGCCACCUUUCACCUUCAGCAUGCUUGGCAAAUGAGGCCAGCGAGCAAAGUGUGCUGCCAAGUGACAUUUUGUGCUAUGCUGAGCUCUGUGCCUGCAUUUUCAAGUUCCAGCUCCCAGUACCCUCUAAAGUGGCUAUAUUUGGAUAAAGGAUCUUGAAAGGGUGAUUAACAUAAAACAAGGUCCAAAUGCAGUGUGAGUAGUGUCCCACAGCAGAGGAGCUCAGGACACAGAUAGACACAAAAGGGCGACUGAGUGAGGACCCUGGGAGAAGAUGCCAAGGAGGGUGGUUCCAGGGGAAGCCAACCUGGCCAACACCUUGACCUUGACUUCAACCUCUUGGCCUGGAAUGGAGCUGGUGGGGUGUGUGGCCCUCUGUUAUGGCCACUCUACCUGAGUAGAAGGCACCCAGCCCUGAGCACUGGGCUCUAGGGUAACCAGGAUGAAUCAUGAAGUGUCUUUUCCCCAGUCUGCUCUCGCUCUG
Long non-coding RNA from Cavia porcellus (domestic guinea pig), 3155 nucleotides. RefSeq lists it as uncharacterized. The record is from RefSeq and is a predicted model, not a curated record. The transcript is spliced from 4 exons. NCBI's taxonomy places the organism in Eukaryota, Metazoa, Chordata, Mammalia, Rodentia, Caviidae.